This 282-nucleotide long non-coding RNA is filed under the name Cricetulus griseus (Chinese hamster). RNAcentral's name for it is "lncRNA (ENSCGRG00000024916.1)". Lineage: Eukaryota; Metazoa; Chordata; Mammalia; Rodentia; Cricetidae. The record is from RNAcentral.
CAUCGUAGGGAGCUGCUUCCCACAGCCUUCCUGGUAGAGGAUACAGACUGAGCACAGACGAGGAAGGAGGAUGUCUGAAAGGGCAGACAUGAGGUGGUUUCCACUGGACAGGAGUAUGUGUGGAUUCCUGGAGGACUGGGACCUCAGGCACAAGGGAAAUUGCCUUGAAGAAAUGGAAGAUAUUUUCAGUGCCUGCAAAUGAUGGCUACAAAUGCCAAUGGGAUGACAGUAGCUGUCAGGGGCUAGGCAUGCACCAUGGGAAGCGGAGGGCCUCAGGGCGGG